CUCUGUGACUCCUACGGGAGGCAGCAGUGGGGAAUAUUGCACAAUGGGCGCAAGCCUGAUGCAGCCAUGCCGCGUGUAUGAAGAAGGCCUUCGGGUUGUAAAGUACUUUCAGCAGUGAGGAAGGUGGGUAUGUUAAUAGCAUAUUCAUUUGACGUUAGCUGCAGAAGAAGCACCGGCUAACUCCGUGCCAGCAGCCGCGGUAAUACGGAGGGUGCGAGCGUUAAUCGGAAUUACUGGGCGUAAAGCGCAUGCAGGUGGUUUGUUAAGUCAGAUGUGAAAGCCCCGGGGCUCAACCUCGGAAUUGCAUUUGAAACUGACAAACUAGAGUACUGUAGAGGGGGUAGAAUUUCAGGUGUAGCGGUGAAAUGCGUAGAGAUCUGAAGGAAUACCGGUGGCGAAGGCGGCCCCCUGGACAGAUACUGACACUCAGAUGCGAAAGCGUGGGGAGCAAACAGGAUUAGAUACCCUUGUAG
RNAcentral lists this ribosomal RNA (473 nucleotides) under uncultured bacterium. RNAcentral describes it as "bacterial SSU rRNA". It matches the Rfam family "Bacterial small subunit ribosomal RNA", at positions 328 to 793 of the family's 1533-position model. The record is from RNAcentral.